Eurytemora carolleeae is the source of this 616-nucleotide long non-coding RNA. RefSeq lists it as uncharacterized. NCBI's taxonomy places the organism in Eukaryota, Metazoa, Arthropoda, Copepoda, Calanoida, Temoridae. The transcript is spliced from 7 exons. The record is from RefSeq and is a predicted model, not a curated record.
CCUCCCUGCCUGGACCGUGUAAUCCCGCCCAACCCAACCUAUUUCUAGCUGUUUACUAGGUUUACCAGGCUGGUAUCGCGUAGUAAAGGGGAAUCCACUGGUUUAUAUACAGGGAUGAUAUGGGUAAUCAGCUAAGCACCUGGAAUUUAACAAUCCAAUCAGCUGUAGACGGGCCUAACUUCAACUAUAAUUCAGAAUAUAAUCAGGAGCCUUAUAUCUUUGCCGACUACCGAAACUUCUAUAUUGGUAUUGGCGCAACAGCCCUAGCAGCUCUACUUCUUAUUCUCUUCAAUAUUGUACUCGGCUGCAAAUACAAGAAGUACUGGUACAGCAGGUAUAGCGGAAAUCGGUUUUUACUUCCGGUCUUUGUACUUCCACCUAAAGAUCAGACCCCACUAGAUAUCUAAACAGCCAGUAUGUUUGUUAUGUGGCCUUGGAUAGGCCUAAUAUCCUCUUUGACGGUCAUAUCAGCGGUCUUCGUUAUCAAGCUUGCAAAAAGAUGUGGAGUGAGGAUGACGACAUUACCUGACAGAACUGUAAGUUCCUACUUAGACCAGGAGGACAAUUUUGUCGUGAUGGAAGAUGGAACUGUGGACUAUAACCUGCAGACUAUGGA